AUGGGGAAGAAGAACUUGCCUGCGCGAUGGAGACUUCCAGCGUUGGUCAUGUGGCUCAUCCUCCUUUGCGCACAGGAUGCACUCGCCAAAACUCUCCAGUGUAAAGAGAAUCAGUACCUUAAAGACUCCAAGUGUUGUGACAAAUGUCGACCAGGUUACUAUGUGUACUCUCACUGUACUGAUUCUCAGCGGACUAAAUGUGUCAAAUGCAAUCGUGAUGAAUAUCAGCCUGUCUGGACAGAAGAAAUGCAGUGCGUUCAGCAGAAGUUCUGUGAUCCAGGUAAGGGUUUUAUGGUGAAUAAAGAGAACCCUGUGGCUGAGGAACCAUGCCGCUGUAGGCCCAACUUACAGUGUUACCACAUCAAUUGUGAAUUCUGCGAAAAACUACCCACCUGUAACCCUGGUUCUGGCCUCGAAGAUGACCCCGGUGAGAUCUGCACUCCAUGCAAUAGCGGCUUUUUCUCCGCUCAUCGUAAUUCUGAGCAAUGUACAACCCCCCCUUGGGUUUUAGUUUCUGUGCUGUCAGUCCUAAUUGUUCUGUGUCUCCUCCUUCUGCGGCUCUUCUGCUACAAGGACAAACUGAAGUUGCUCUCCAGCCAAAAUGCUUCACAACAACCAACAGAAAAAGGAGGGAUGGAGGAAAAGACGGCUGCAGAGACUCAGAGCGAGGGAUCUGGAGAACCAGAAGAGGUGUCAGAAGAAGACUUUUCAAGUGUCUCUCCACUUUUGGCAGGUUCCUGUGUGUGUGUCAUUCCAGUCUGUGAGCCACUGGAAGUAGGGGAGAAUGAGGACUGUAGCCAGGCUGUGAGUCCUGGGAUGACAGGAACCUGCUUGUGUGGGGCUCAGGUGAUGGAGCAGCCCAGAUCUGACCUGACGGACGGAUCACCGGUAAAAACAGUGGAAUUAUACACACAGACAAGUUUACACUCCACCUUUAAAGGAAAUAGCACAACCUCCACUGUGACUUUAGCCAGCCCCUCAUUAACUUCUGCAUCGGUUGGAGAUCUUUACCUGGAAAAGCCGCCUGAGUCCUCAAGCGCAGAUCAAAGCCUGGGACCUUCCUGGAGGAAUAGCAGGGAGAAAAGGUUUCCUCUGGGAGACUCGGAACUGGAAUGUUCACCAGAGAGUCUUGUGUCUGGAAACAACAAUACUACCUUCAUCUCCAGCGGUCAGGUGAUGAAUUUCAGCGGUGAUGUCAUUGUCGUGUGUGUCAGCCAAACAUCUCAUGACGGUGACGAGGAGAGGCAGGGUGACGCUAUUGGGAGCCCUGUGCAGGAGGAGUCUAGCCAAACGGCGCAGUUUUUCCAGAGCAGGUGUCGAUCACAAGGGAACUACACUACCCAUAACACCUUGCAAGAACUGACAAUGCCAAUGAUGCAGGGAAAGUAA
Molecule: long non-coding RNA, 1389 nt
Filed under: Oryzias sinensis (Chinese medaka)
Lineage: Eukaryota; Metazoa; Chordata; Actinopteri; Beloniformes; Adrianichthyidae
Description: lncRNA (ENSOSIG00000019874.1)
Source: RNAcentral